Oreochromis aureus is the source of this 706-nucleotide long non-coding RNA. Lineage: Eukaryota; Metazoa; Chordata; Actinopteri; Cichliformes; Cichlidae. The record is from Ensembl.
CAGUGAAUAAGUUCAUGUACACGCUAAAAGUGCCCUACACGCUUGUACCUUGGAAAACGUUCGUCUUUAGUCACACUCGCAGAAGCCGGUGUACCCACCGAAACGCCGUGCAUUUAUCGAGACUUUCAACCCCAGGUAGGCCAAUUAUGGAUCUUCGGAUCCACAUUAUGUCAGCAGCUGUUCUCCACCGUGAACUAUGUUAAAGACAAACACCGUGCAGCAGAAGUCCCAUUGUAAACAAAUCACGGCAGACCCGAUGAUGUUUCCAUGAGCAUGCUUUUGAGAACCUCUUUAUUGAGCACUUUUCACACACGGUUGCUGUACGCAUACAGCUGGCUGUAGCUUUUCAGCUCACAGCCCGACAUACACCACCAACAACACAACAGCACAGAUAGCGCAGAUGUAAAGGCAGCGAGGCAUGAUUGCGGGUGUCGCUCAGGUGCGUCCGCCUCCCCUGCGGCGGCGCUGCAGACCACGCCCCGCCGCACGCAUUAACCAGAGUCAGGUCAAGGCUCCAACAGCCCAAAGGCGAUAUAAGGGUGGCGGCUGACAACAGUUUUUGUUUGCUACAUGGAUCAUUUUAGUUCAGGGGCCAUCUGGGAUCGGGGGAGAGAGCGGCGCCAGGAACAAAGCUGAAAAGCUGCAGAGAGCAAAUUUGGAAAAGCUGAAAAUAAAACAGUGUGUACGUGUUGGUCCUUCAUGUCAC